AAACGGCGCGGAUGGUUUUUCCGAGAAAAAUCGCAAGAAGAACCUCGAUAUCCUGAAUCUCGCACAAAAUCUGUGCGUAACGCAUUAGAAGAUGUACGUGUUUUGUGAACUGUGUCAUGAACAGCGCCAAUCGGGAGACGCUGAAGUAUUUAUAUCGUCCUGUUGCCACAUAUCCUGUCGAAAAUGCUGCACCUCCUCCAGCAACUGCAACGUUUGCGGUAAACCUUGCCGAAAAACAUUGAUCAACCGAGCUUUGCCAAACUCGGUAAAGGAGUAUUUCGUGAAUCACGCUGAUCAGUUGACAAAAAUCGCCAAAAUUUAUCGGUUUCAAAUCGGAAAAAUGGAUCGAUUCCUCUCAGCGAACGUUGAUGCUAUUGGAACGGAAUUAAACAGGAGCAACGAUUAAUUGAACAGCUGAAGCAAAAGGCUGCUUUGCAAACACCACCAUCGAAAGCGCCUUGCGAGCCGCUCCAAACUAAACUCCCAGUCCCAAGAGAGGAUUUUUUCCGAAAAUCAACCGACGUCUGUCUGUAGGGUUUGCGUUUUAAUGGAUGUAUCAAUUAAAUAAAAUAGGCGUUUUUAGCAAACGAG
This is a long non-coding RNA of Anopheles darlingi, 591 nucleotides long. RefSeq lists it as uncharacterized. The transcript has 2 exons. NCBI's taxonomy places the organism in Eukaryota, Metazoa, Arthropoda, Insecta, Diptera, Culicidae. The record is from RefSeq and is a predicted model, not a curated record.